GGCACAAUAGCGUAGUGGCUAGUGCCUCUCGCUUCCUCCUAGGAGAUCCAGGGAUCAAGUCCCAGCGGAUCCA
RNAcentral lists this transfer RNA (73 nucleotides) under Hordeum vulgare. RNAcentral's name for it is "tRNA-OTHER". Lineage: Eukaryota; Viridiplantae; Streptophyta; Magnoliopsida; Poales; Poaceae. The record is from RNAcentral.